AAUCAUAGCUAUGUAGACAUAACAUAAAGCAGCUCAUCACCUGGCUCUCAGCCACUAUUGUUUGUGAGGUGUAUAAAUAUAACACUGAUACUGUGAAAGAGCUGCUGAAUAAAGCCGUGUCUCAUCUACCUGCUGUCUCCCAAGUGUUCUUCCAGCUCCCUGCCCCUCAUCAACCCACUCUCCUCAGACCUCAGCUGGGGCUUGAACCUGAUAAUUGGUGUAGUCAUCAGGAUGAGCUGUACCCUUCAUCACGAAUUUGAUGGACUGCUUGACAAUGGAACUGGAAGAGUACCACUUUGUGGUGGACUUAGCUAAUGCAGUCUUCUCCAUUGACAUUGCUCCAGAGAGCCAGGAGAAGUUUGUCUUCACGUGGGAAGGAUGACAAUGGACUUUCACCAUGCUGCCACAGGGCUGUGUGCAUAGCCCCACCAUUUGUCCUGGUCUUGUUGCCAUGGAUUUAGCUGCCUGGAAAUGCCCAAAAGGGGUCUGCCUGUUUCAUUACAUUGAUGAUAUGUUAACCUCUGAUUCUCUCACAGAUUUAGAAGUGGUGGUGCCCCUCUUGUGACAGCAUUUGGCAGUGUGCAGUUGGGCCAUCAAUAAAUCCAAGGUCCAAGGGCCGGAAUUGUCUGCCAAAUUCUUGGGAGUUAUUUGCUCAGCCACAGGUUGGCAUGCUCCAACAACAUUGUGGACUGGGCUCACACCUAUGCUGAGGUGGCCAAUGUCUCCAACUGUUAGAUCUGCACCACCCUUCCAGCAGCAGCUGUGGAUGGCUUGCCUUGGCAUGUGCAUCCAGCUUUUGUGAAGAACUGGACAUGGCUAGAAACUUGGGGUCCCACAGACAAUGGGCGGGAUGCAACAUGGUGAGCUUUGGAUGGGGGUGUCACAAAACCCAUGGCAAGCCUGCCCCCUGGCUGACUCAUAGCAUCCAUGAUGAAUGGGGCUGGCUAAUGGGAGAAAACAUGGUGGCCCCAUUGCAAGUACCACGAUGUAUAGAGCAACACUGGGGUAAGGUCACUGUGGGAUGGUUGCCUGCUGAGACCUGUGCAAACGUAACACAUGCCACCAUGCCAAGGAUGUGGUGGAACAAGCAGCCCUACCAAGGCUGGGCCCCCAUGGACUUUGUGCCUGCUGGGAGUUUAUAGGUCUGUGGGGACAUAGGAUGGCCAUAUCUGCCAGCCAACUAGACUGGACAUUGUACCUGGGAGUGGCCUUCUGUGCCUGCCACUGUGCUUCCCACAUUGCUUAGUCACACACAUAACUGGGAGGUGCUGUGUUCCCAGUUUUUGUGAGUGCAUUGAGCCCCUAGUGGUUCUACCCCUUAGCAAUAACUGUCCCUGGAACAGGUGUCAUCACUGUAGAAAUGCAGGUUACAGCCCUUGCAGAACACAGAGAUUGGGCCCAUGAAUUACACCUGAGCUGCCCUCCUUUUGUUAAUUGAUGAGUUUGAUCAGAUCAGGAAGGUGGUGAUGCAAAACCGGAUGGCCUUAGACAUAGUCACAGCUGCUCAAGGUGGCACCUGUGCCCUUGUAGGGACAGAGUGUUGUACAUUCAUCCCUGACAACCACCAGAACAUAGUGGCAGCUUUGCAGGGGGUGUCAUGUCAUAGGAGAUUAAGGCAAUUGAAUACCUUACUGAUGACCGCCUGCAGAGAUGGUGGGUGUCUCUGGGCUCUGGCCUACACUGGGCUCUUAUAAUCAUAGGUAGCAUAGCAGGAAUAUUAGUAGUAGGUUGUUGCUCUCUUUAUUGUUGCUGUGGCCUCUGGGUCCAGGGUGCUCCCCUAUGUGCACGAGUUCCCAUUAAGAGGACCCCCUUGGCCUAGGGGGCGGAGUGUAAGGAACAUGGCUGUGUUGCUGCCAGGCAGGCAUAGGCCGAGGUAAAAAUCCUGCAUGACACAGUGGGAUUAGAGCACACGCGCGCAAUCCUGUGCCUGAUAUAAUCACAGCUAGGUAGACAUAACACAGAGAAGCUCAUCAUUUGGCUCUCAGCCACUAUCAUUUGUGAGGUGUACAAAUGUAACACUGACACUGUGAAAGAGCUGCUGAAUAAAGCCAUGUCUCAUCUACCUGCUCUCUCUCGAGUGUUCUUCCAGCUCCCUGCCCCCCGCCCCAUCUACCCACACCCCUCUGACCUCAGCUGGGGCUUGAAACUGACAUUUGCUUUAUUGUACUUUGCAGAUACUUAAAAAAAAAACCAAAUUAAAGUUUUGUGGCAACCCUGUGUUGAGCAAGC
This 2229-nucleotide long non-coding RNA is filed under the name Homo sapiens (human). Its description in RNAcentral is "HSALNT0074030". The record is from RNAcentral. Lineage: Eukaryota; Metazoa; Chordata; Mammalia; Primates; Hominidae.